RNAcentral lists this long non-coding RNA (244 nucleotides) under Vigna radiata. RNAcentral describes it as "long non-coding RNA (VRAD_LNC013025)". The record is from RNAcentral. Lineage: Eukaryota; Viridiplantae; Streptophyta; Magnoliopsida; Fabales; Fabaceae.
UUUUCCCCUUCCCUCAAUCGUCAUUUUAUCUCCGUUGAUGUCACUUUUGAUGAAUCUUCGUUUUAUUUUUCACAUCUAUCUUCUAGUUCUGUACCUCCACCUACUACUAUUGAUAUUCCUAUUGUUUGUGAUCCUUCUCCUCCUUUAGACUCUCAUUCCCCACAGGAUCGUCCUUCAACUCUACCUCUUAAGGUUUAUAGUCGCCGCAAUUGUCUCCCUCAUGACUCACCUCCUAUGCCACCUC